CCUACGGGAGGCAGCAGUGGGGAAUAUUGGACAAUGGGGGGAACCCUGAUCCAGCCAUGCCGCGUGUGUGAAGAAGGCCCUCGGGUUGAAAAGCACUUUCAGUGAGGAAGAACGCCUGGUGGUUAAUACCCAUCAGGAAAGACAUCACUCACAGAAGAAGCACCGGCUAACUCCGUGCCAGCAGCCGCGGUAAUACGGAGGGUGCGAGCGUUAAUCGGAAUUACUGGGCGUAAAGCGCGCGUAGGUGGCUUGAUAAGCCGGUUGUGAAAGCCCCGGGCUCAACCUGGGAACGGCAUCCGGAACUGUCAAGCUAGAGUGCAGGAGAGGAAGGUAGAAUUCCCGGUGUAGCGGUGAAAUGCGUAGAGAUCGGGAGGAAUACCAGUGGCGAAGGCGGCCUUCUGGACUGACACUGACACUGAGGUGCGAAAGCGUGGGUAGCAAACAGGAUUAGAUACCCGUGUAGUC
This 465-nucleotide ribosomal RNA is filed under the name Vreelandella stevensii. RNAcentral describes it as "partial 16S ribosomal RNA". It matches the Rfam family "Bacterial small subunit ribosomal RNA", at positions 338 to 795 of the family's 1533-position model. The record is from RNAcentral. Lineage: Bacteria; Pseudomonadati; Pseudomonadota; Gammaproteobacteria; Oceanospirillales; Halomonadaceae.